GACGAACGCUGGCGGCGUGCUUAACACAUGCAAGUCGAACGGAAAGGCCCUGCUUUUGUGGGGUGCUCGAGUGGCGAACGGGUGAGUAACACGUGAGUAACCUGCCCUUGACUUUGGGAUAACUUCAGGAAACUGGGGCUAAUACCGGAUAGGAGCUCCUGCUGCAUGGUGGGGGUUGGAAAGUUUCGGCGGUUGGGGAUGGACUCGCGGCUUAUCAGCUUGUUGGUGGGGUAGUGGCUUACCAAGGCUUUGACGGGUAGCCGGCCUGAGAGGGUGACCGGGCACCAGAGGACUGAGGGAGGGCCCAGUCGGCUACGGGAGGCAGUAGGCGGGAACAUUGCACAAUGGGACGAAGCCGGAUGAAGAGACGCCGCGGGUGGGAAGACGGUCUUCGGGCUGAAAACAGCUGCCGCCUGUGACGAAGCGGGAGUGACGGUAAUGGGUAAAGAAGCACCGGCUAACUACGUG
This 468-nucleotide ribosomal RNA is filed under the name uncultured bacterium. Its description in RNAcentral is "partial 16S ribosomal RNA". It matches the Rfam family "Bacterial small subunit ribosomal RNA", at positions 28 to 507 of the family's 1533-position model. The record is from RNAcentral.